RNAcentral lists this ribosomal RNA (300 nucleotides) under uncultured bacterium. RNAcentral describes it as "bacterial SSU rRNA". It matches the Rfam family "Bacterial small subunit ribosomal RNA", at positions 775 to 1067 of the family's 1533-position model. The record is from RNAcentral.
GGAUUAGAUACCCUGGUAGUCCAUGCCCUAAACGAUGUGCACUAGUUCGAGGAGGUUUUGACGCCAUCUCGGACGAAGCUAAAGUAUUAAGUGCACCGCCUGGGGAGUACGGUCGCAAGGCUAAAACUCAAAGGAAUUGACGGGGACUCACACAAGCGGUGGAGCAUGUGGCUUAAUUCGAAGCAACGCGAAGAACCUUAUCCUGGGUUUGACAUGGACGGAUUAGCUUCCCGAAACGGAAGUGACACUCUCUGAGUGGAACGUUCACAGGUGCUGCAUGGCUGUCGUCAGCUCGUGCUG